GAUGAACGCUGGCGGCGUGCCUAAUACAUGCAAGUCGAGCGAACAGACGAGGAGCUUGCUCCUCUGACGUUAGCGGCGGACGGGUGAGUAACACGUGGAUAACCUACCUAUAAGACUAGGAUAACUUCGGGAAACCGGAGCUAAUACCGGAUAAUAUAUUGAACCGCAUGGUUCAAUAGUGAAAGACGGUUUUGCUGUCACUUAUAGAUGGAUCCGCGCCGCAUUAGCUAGUUGGUAAGGUAACGGCUUACCAAGGCAACGAUGCGUAGCCGACCUGAGAGGGUGAUCGGCCACACUGGAACUGAGACACGGUCCAGACUCCUACGGGAGGCAGCAGUAGGGAAUCUUCCGCAAUGGGCGAAAGCUUGACGGAGCAACGCCGCGUGAGUGAUGAAGGUCUUCGGAUCGUAAAACUCUGUUAUUAGGGAAGAACAAAUGUGUAAGUAACUAUGCACGUCUUGACGGUACCUAAUCAGAAAGCCACGGCUAACUGCGUG
Molecule: ribosomal RNA, 497 nt
Filed under: uncultured bacterium
Lineage: Bacteria
Description: partial 16S ribosomal RNA
Rfam family: Bacterial small subunit ribosomal RNA
Source: RNAcentral